UAUGGGUGCGCACCUGGUUUGGCUGCGGCUUUCUUCCUGUAGCCGUCCGCGCUUAAUUGCGUGUGCUGUGUUACGGAACUUUUACUUUGAGAAAAAUAGAGUGUUUCAAGCAGGCUUGUCGCCCUGAAUACUUCAGCAUGGAAUAAUAGGAUAGGACCUUGGUUCUAUUUUGUUGGUUUCUAGGACCAAGGUAAUGAUUAAUAGGGACAGUUGGGGGCAUUCGUAUUUAACUGUCAGAGGUGAAAUUCUUAGAUUUGUUAAAGACGAACUACUGCGAAAGCAUUUGCCAAGGAUGUUUUCAUUAAUCAAGAACGACAGUAGGGGG
This 325-nucleotide ribosomal RNA is filed under the name Eimeria sp. RNAcentral describes it as "partial small subunit ribosomal RNA". It matches the Rfam family "Eukaryotic small subunit ribosomal RNA", at positions 671 to 996 of the family's 1831-position model. Lineage: Eukaryota; Apicomplexa; Conoidasida; Eucoccidiorida; Eimeriidae. RNAcentral also lists the same sequence under 1 other name. The record is from RNAcentral.